This 253-nucleotide ribosomal RNA is filed under the name uncultured bacterium. Its description in RNAcentral is "partial 16S ribosomal RNA". It matches the Rfam family "Bacterial small subunit ribosomal RNA", at positions 524 to 776 of the family's 1533-position model. The record is from RNAcentral.
UACGGGGGGGGCAAGCGUUGUUCGGAAUUACUGGGCGUAAAGGGCUCGUAGGCGGCCAACUAAGUCAGACGUGAAAUCCCUCGGCUUAACCGGGGAACUGCGUCUGAUACUGGAUGGCUUGAGAUUGGGAGAGGGAUGCGGAAUUCCAGGUGUAGCGGUGAAAUGCGUAGAUAUCUGGAGGAACACCGGUGGCGAAGGCGGCACCCUGGACCAACACUGACGCUGAGGAGCGAAAGCCAGGGGAGCAAACGGG